UUUCGAUGUCUGUUUCUUGCCUUCUUGCUUUCUGCUUUCUGGCUUAUAUAAAUGUUGAUAUAUUAAUAUCAAUUUUUUGCUAAAGUCUGUUUGCUAAGUCUUUUUUAUUCUGAAAAAAAGGGGGAGAACUAAAACAACUAUGAUGAAAACAUAUCUAAUUCUUGUCAAACACUGCAAACAUUUCUCUAAAAAUGACUUAAGAUAUGUAGGAAAGUAGCUAAAAG
This 224-nucleotide long non-coding RNA is filed under the name Lathyrus oleraceus (garden pea). RNAcentral's name for it is "Pisum sativum (pea) long non-coding RNA (PSAT_LNC015229)". The record is from RNAcentral. Lineage: Eukaryota; Viridiplantae; Streptophyta; Magnoliopsida; Fabales; Fabaceae.